GGAGAGAGAGAGAGGUUGAGAGAGAGAGAGGUUGAGAGAGAGAGAGAUGGGGAGAGAGAGGUUGAGAGAAAGAUGGGGUUGAGAGAGAGAGGUUGAGAGAGAGAGAUUGAGAGAGAGAGAGAGAGAUUGAGAGAGAGAGGGAGAGAGAGGUUGAGAGAGAGGUUGAGAGAGAGAGGUUGAGAGAGAGAGAGGUUGAGAGAGAGAGAAAGAGGUUGAGAGAGAGAAAUUGAGAGAGAGGUUGAGAGAGAGGUUGAGAGAGAGAGAGCGAUUGAGAG
This is a long non-coding RNA of Oncorhynchus tshawytscha (Chinook salmon), 275 nucleotides long. The record is from Ensembl. NCBI's taxonomy places the organism in Eukaryota, Metazoa, Chordata, Actinopteri, Salmoniformes, Salmonidae.